UACGUAGGGAGCGAGCGUUGUCCGGAAUUACUGGGCGUAAAGGGUGCGUAGGUGGCCAAGCAAGUCAGAUGUGAAAUCCCCGGGCUUAACUCGGGGGGUGCAUUUGAAACUGCGUGGCUUGAGUGCAGGAGAGGAAAGCGGAAUUCCUAGUGUAGCGGUGAAAUGCGUAGAUAUUAGGAGGAACACCAGUGGCGAAGGCGGCUUUCUGGACUGUAACUGACACUGAGGCACGAAAGCGUGGGGAGCAAACAGGAUUAGAUACCCUGGUAGUCCACGCUGUAAACGAUGGAUACUAGGUGUGGGGGACAUACAACCUCCGUGCCGCAGCAAACGCAAUAAGUAUCCCGCCUGGGGAGUACGGCCGCAAGGCUGAA
This 374-nucleotide ribosomal RNA is filed under the name uncultured bacterium. Its description in RNAcentral is "bacterial SSU rRNA". It matches the Rfam family "Bacterial small subunit ribosomal RNA", at positions 524 to 898 of the family's 1533-position model. The record is from RNAcentral.